RNAcentral lists this ribosomal RNA (243 nucleotides) under uncultured bacterium. RNAcentral's name for it is "partial 16S ribosomal RNA". It matches the Rfam family "Bacterial small subunit ribosomal RNA", at positions 15 to 254 of the family's 1533-position model. The record is from RNAcentral.
GAUCCUGGCUCAGAUUGAACGCUGGCGGCAGGCUUAACACAUGCAAGUCGAACGGUAACAGGAGAGAGCUUGCUUUCUUGCUGACGAGUGGCGGACGGGUGAGUAAUGCUUGGGAAUCUGGCUUAUGGAGGGGGGAUAACGACGGGAAACUGUCGCUAAUACCGCGUAGAGUCGAGAGACGAAAGUGCGGACGCAAGGACCGGCAUGCCACUAGGAUGAGCCCAACGUGGGAGUUAGGUUAGG